GAUGAACGCUGGCGGCGUGCCUAACACAUGCAAGUCGAGCGGAAAUAUUUGAAGUAGUAAUACGGAAAAUAUUUUAGCGGCGGACGGGUGAGUAACACGUGAGCAAUCUGCCUCUGACUGGGGAAUAACAUUGUGAAAACAAUGCUAAUACCGCAUGACAUCCGACCGGGGCAUCCCGGACGGAUCAAAGGAGAAAUCCGGUCAGAGAUGAGCUCGCGUCCGAUUAGUUAGUUGGUGGGGUAAUGGCCUACCAAGACCGCGAUCGGUAGCCGGACUGAGAGGUUGAACGGCCACAUUGGGACUGAGACACGGCCCAGACUCCUACGGGAGGCAG
This 334-nucleotide ribosomal RNA is filed under the name uncultured Bacillota bacterium. RNAcentral's name for it is "bacterial SSU rRNA". It matches the Rfam family "Bacterial small subunit ribosomal RNA", at positions 28 to 351 of the family's 1533-position model. The record is from RNAcentral. Lineage: Bacteria; Bacillati; Bacillota.